AUUGAACGCUGGCGGCAUGCUUUACACAUGCAAGUCGAACGGCAGCGCGGGCUUCGGCCUCGCGUCGAGUGGCGAACGGGUGAGUAAUGCAUCGGAACGUGCCCAGUAGUGGGGGAUAGCCCGGCGAAAGCCGGAUUAAUACCGCAUACGACCUGAGGGUGAAAGCGGGGGACCGAAAGGCCUCGCGCUAUUGGAGCGGCCGAUGUCGGAUUAGCUAGUUGGUGGGGUAAAGGCUUACCAAGGCGACGAUCCGUAGCUGGUCUGAGAGGACGACCAGCCACACUGGGACUGAGACACGGCCCAGACUCCUACGGGAGGCAGCAGUGGGGAAUUUUGGACAAUGGGGGCAACCCUGAUCCAGCCAUGCCGCGUGCGGGAAGAAGGCCUUCGGGUUGUAAACCGCUUUUGUUCGGGAAGAAAUCCUCUGGGCUAAUACCCCGGGGGGAUGACGGUACCGGAAGAAUAAGCACCGGCUAACUACGUG
This 484-nucleotide ribosomal RNA is filed under the name uncultured bacterium. RNAcentral describes it as "partial 16S ribosomal RNA". It matches the Rfam family "Bacterial small subunit ribosomal RNA", at positions 28 to 507 of the family's 1533-position model. The record is from RNAcentral.